Molecule: long non-coding RNA, 526 nt
Filed under: Cyanistes caeruleus (blue tit)
Lineage: Eukaryota; Metazoa; Chordata; Aves; Passeriformes; Paridae
Description: lncRNA (ENSCCEG00000010987.1)
Source: RNAcentral
GGUGUCCCUCAGAUUUGAUGUCACAGGCAAGGCAGGCAGCAGCACACAAUCCCUUCCCUUCCUGUCAGUCCCUCCUGAGGAGCAACCACAACCGACUGGAUGGCUACAGAGAGGGAAUUAGUCUCACUGCAUCCCUGAGAGAUUUUUAGGGCUAGGGACUUGGCUAGUACUACAUUUGCUUCACGUGUCCAGAGAGGGCCAGGUGGGAGUUUGCCUGCCACAGGGUGACUCCCAGGUGGGGUGAACUAAGCACUUUGCUGUCCUUUCUGCUUUCAGGCCUGUGUAGGGAAUGCCCACACUAGGGACAUUGGCUUAGUGUGGCAAUCCCAAACUACUGCUGCAGCUCCUUGGGCACCAUUCUUCUCCAGAGCUGCAAGUCAUGCAUUUCUCCAGUUGUCUUCUGGUGCCAAAUUUUUCAGAAGUGAUGAAAGUCUUAGGCUGGAAUGGUCCUACAGUUGCUGAAGCUUGUGUGGUAGCUCAACAAGUCCUCAGCCAAGUGAGGGAGAGGAGGAAGAAAGCAGCCUGA